Molecule: non-coding RNA, 642 nt
Organism: Camellia sinensis
Lineage: Eukaryota; Viridiplantae; Streptophyta; Magnoliopsida; Ericales; Theaceae
Source: RefSeq, a predicted model, not a curated record
CUAUAUAUACCCUUUUCUUCAGUUGCCCUAACACUCUCCUCUCCUCUUCUCCUCUCCUCUCUGGCGACCGACGAGACAAACUCCUCCAUCUCCAAGAUCGCAGCCGAUCGUUUAGUUUGGCCCCCUGUUUUCCGUUGAUCUGCACAAAAAAAGGUAAGGUGUGUGGUUAGAUUUGUGUGAGAAGUAUGAUCUCAAUCAUCUUUCAUAAAGCUGGAAUCAGAAAAUGACCAAAUGAAAUGUAUUUACAAUUAAUUUCCCAAUCAAUUUUCGAGGAUUUGGAUUCAAUUCUUCGAAUUCAUAGACUUAGAUCCUUGAAAAAAUCUUAAUCUACCUGAGAGACAUCGAAUUCAUAGAUGAAACCAAUAGCAAUCUGAAGAAGUGGAUUGUCCUUAGGCUUAUUAUGGAUGGUUUUGAAGCCUCCCUCUGUAAACUUCCUGGCCUGCUACCAUUGGUCGCCCUUCAUGUCUCUUUCUCUCUCUGAUCUCUCUCUCUGUGGAUUUUGAUGUUUUGAUGAAAGACAGCAAUGGUGGUGGUGAUGAAACAGUGAGGUUGAUAGUGGACAUGGAUUUCAGGUCUCAGUUUGAGCUAGCAAGGCCUAUUUCAACAUACUCAAAGCUAACAGCUUAUUUGCCUCCCAUAUUU